GUAGUAGCCGAAGAUUUCGACAGGAAAUUGGUGCAAUCGUUGUGUUGAUUCUUCUUGUAUUAGCAGUUUAUUGCCUUGAGAUAAUGUGAAUGGUUAUGCUUUUUCAAUAUACAGUUAUUUCCAAACAUGAAAGAAAUGUGUGGAUGAGAGGGUUAUAUUCUCUUUAGAAAUUAUCUGCAACUACGCAGUCAUUUCGUAUGCCUCAUUAGUACUAAAAAAUUGAGACGGGUUUAUUAGUUACGCGCAAGUGGGUUACUCCCGUGUGAACCAGAACUCCCAGCAGAUGAUACUGGGACUUAAGUAUUAACGAGAACAGUAGUGUGGCUAACAAGCUGUAUUCCACAAGUCCACACUGGAAUAGGACAUAGCCUACCAAGAGCCAUACAAGAUCGUUUUUGCAGAAUACCAGUUUACAAUCUAUGCGGAGUUCCUUUCUCAGAUUGUUUGUCUGCUGCCAUGGAAUACAAUAAUGGAGCAUUCUCCACAGGGGAGGAAAACCGGUAUGAAGAGAACAUGCUGGCUUUGUCCUUUCUUCGCUGUCUGAGGCGUUGGCUACUCUUCCAGUUAUCUGCCAACAGCGGGAUGCGGGAAAGUUCGACAACAUGGUGCUGGUGUGCUGACCCGGGGGAGCCCCAGAGGCACACACCCUGCUUGCCCCGGUCAAGCACAAGACCUCCCGGAAAUACGUGAUACUAAACAAUGACGUGUGGCUGUCCUGCUGUGACUUGUCUCUCCUGCAGAUAAAUCAGCAAAUUACUGGAGAUGAACAUGUUAUAUUUAUCUUGCUGACACUCGUGUCACAGUGACAGUGUUCUGCGCCAGGAUGUGGACAGUGUCCCAGGGUCGGAGCAAAUGGCAGGCACUAGUAGAUGAAUAUGUCAGGAAGGAGGUGACCAGGUGCAGAGGAAUGUUCACCAAGCUGCACCUGGUCACCUCCUUCCUGAAGUAUUCUGACCGCCAGACUCAAGUACUACAGCGUGAGAGACAUCUGGGGCUAUGCGGAGCCCUGAAACUCGGCACGGGUGAGGCCUCCAGAAAGUGAAACAGUGGCUCUCCCUGUUAAGAAGAUCCACCGAGCACAGGCUCACGACACACACAUCGUGAUGGCUAUGGAGCGGUUCAAAGUUCUGCGACAUGAGAUUCUCCAUUCCUGGGAACUAUCUUGCCCAUGGUGUGUACCCUUCACAGUAUGGUGGUAAGAGAAUAAUUUUUUUUAAUUAUGCACUUGAACUUUUCUUCCAUGGAAUUACAGAAAAAUUAUUGGUUAACCGUAGUCGGCCAUUAUUGGCAAUUGUCAGAACAUAUUUUAAAUCCGUUUCACUAAAAUCUGCACUCUGAACCGCUCCACAGCCACCAUGAUGUGUGUUUCGUGAGCCAGUACUUGGUGGAUCUUCUUAGCAGAGAGGCUAUCAUCCAUCGGUGGCCAUCAUCAGAACAACUGAAAUCAGCAUUGGAUACAGCAGUGUGUGUUCAGCCCUGUAAAAUACUCUCAUUUGAUGAUUUAGUGUCGUAGUUCUGUGUAUUUUGAGAUGCAUGGUUUAUUGUAAAUGUAUUCUGUAGGUCUAAAGGCUGUUCCCAUUUUGGAGCAAUGUAUUUCAUAAACAGUAUUUUCUAGGCUAGUCUCUUAAAUGGUAUACCUACAUAUACAGAAACUCUAUUUUUCCAAAGCUUUUGGAACCAAUUGUGCAGUUUUCCCAGUUCAAAUGAGAUAUGGGUAACUACUUAUUCUGCUUAUUCUUUAAGAAUAGCUACCUGUUUCUGUUGGACACGAAUUGGGACGGGGUGAGAGGUUGGGUGAAAGGUAAACAGUUGGGUGAGUGUGUGGGGACACUGGGUUACCUUAGAUUGAGGCAAAGAUAAUUACACGAGCGGAGGAGACACAUUUUCUGGUGGAUGAAAACUGCAUGCUAGCUGAAACUAAAACCUGUCACAUUUGCCUUUCAUGGGUAAAUGCUCUUACUGACUCAGUUAUUCUUAUUCAGGUUUCAUUUAUGAUCAGCCCUGCCAGCUUUACUUCAGACAGUACCUUUCUGCUACUUUCCAAACCUCACUGGAGUUCUCUUGCAUGCCUUGCUGUAUUAGUACUGGAAGAAAGGGUGUUGUGGAGAAAUCAUUUGCCCCCAACCUAAUGAAGUGUUUCUGGAACGAAUUUUUGCUUGACAGUGAAGGGUGUGCUGUUGAAAAACUUAGUUUAAUCCCAAUAGUAUUAAUUCCACAAGAUACAAGCAUAUGGGAGAAUUUCUAUGAAGUUUGGAAAGUAGAAGAGAGGAAAAGUGUAGCUUUAAGGGUGUGUCGUGAGUUGUCUGGGUAACUCAGCUGAUAGCAUUUCUCCACAAAAGGCAAAGGUUUCAGGUUAGAGACACAGCCCAGCUCACAUCUUUCAUUUGCCAAGAAGUUUAAACACAGCGCGCACUCUGCAAUACUACAUAAAAUUUCAUUCACAUAACUAGUAUUCUAAUGUGUGAAUGCUACUAGUAAUGCAAUGAGCAUGUGAGCACUUAGACUGCCCUGCAGCAGUGUACUUUGCAUGUGCUCUCCCCAUAACAAAUAUUGAGACAGCAAUAAGUCAUCAGAAUCAGGUCAUCCCUGUCGGAACCAGUCAGGCUGUCCCACCAAAAAUAGAUAACGUCUUUAGUGGAGGUGAAACCUGUGCUAUUUACAAUUAAACUUGAAAGUAUCAGAAGAACUGCAUAUGAAUCUCUCCCCAUUGUACAAAGCA
This 2719-nucleotide long non-coding RNA is filed under the name Schistocerca americana (American grasshopper). RNAcentral describes it as "uncharacterized LOC124550883, transcript variant X4". The record is from RNAcentral. Lineage: Eukaryota; Metazoa; Arthropoda; Insecta; Orthoptera; Acrididae.